RNAcentral lists this ribosomal RNA (394 nucleotides) under uncultured bacterium. RNAcentral describes it as "bacterial SSU rRNA". It matches the Rfam family "Bacterial small subunit ribosomal RNA", at positions 413 to 796 of the family's 1533-position model. The record is from RNAcentral.
GGCCUUCGGGUUGUAAACUGCUUUUGUACGGAACGAAAAGGCCCUGGUGAACAACCGGGGUUGCUUGACGGUACCGUAAGAAUAAGCACCGGCUAACUACGUGCCAGCAGCCGCGGUAAUACGUAGGGUGCGAGCGUUAAUCGGAAUUACUGGGCGUAAAGCGUGCGCAGGCGGACAUGCAAGACAGAUGUGAAAUCCCCGGGCUCAACCUGGGAACUGCAUAUGUGACUGUAUGACUGGAGUACGGGCAGAGGGGGAUGGAAUUCCCGCGUGUAGCAGUGAAAUGCGUAGAUAUGCGGAGGAACACCGAUGGCGAAGGCAAUCCCCUGGGCCAGUACUGACGCUCAUGCACGAAAGCGUGGGGAGCAAACAGGAUUAGAUACCCUGGUAGUCC